AUUUUGUGUGCCUUUUAACUUGUUUAUGCCCAUGUCUAAUUUUGUGCGCCUUUUAACUUUUUUUUUUAUGUACAGUAGUUAAUUACCUAGUUUUAUAUGUAUAUAGAUAGAUGGAAGACAAUGAUAUUACAAGGGGCAAUGGAAGAGGUGCUGGUAUAAGCAUCAACAAAGUUAAGGGAAAUAAGGGAGGUAAGCAUAAAACUACUUUGUCACAUUCUUCUAGAUUACAAGCACCUAGGCCUGCAGAAACCCAACAAUCCCUAUCUCAAACACAUACUAACUUCCCACCUUUCCUCUCUACUUCAAGUCCACAAAUGUCUAAUGUCCAUGCUCCCACUUCUCAAAUACCUACAAAUACCCAACAACCCCACUCUACAAUGAAACCUACACAUCAUCUUACAUCUAAAACACCUUCAAAUAUCCAACAAUCCUUAUUUACAAAGCAUCCUACACAUCAUCCCAUAUCUCAAACACAUACAAACUUCCCACCUUUCCUCUCUACUUCAAGUCCACAAAUGUCUACUUUCCAUGCUCCCACUUCUCAAAUACCUACAAAUACCCAACAACCCCACUCUACAAGGAAACCUACACAUCAUCUUACAUCUAACACACCUUCAAAUAUCCAAUUUCCACAACCUACAAGGCAACUGAAACAUCAUCCCAUAUCUCAAACAUUUACAAAUUUCCCACCUUUCCUCUCUACUCCAAGUCCACAAAUGUCUACAAUUCAUGCUCCCACCUCUCAAAUACCUACAAAUAUCCAAUCUCCCCACUCUACUCCUAGUCCACCACAUCUUUCUAAUACACAUAGACCAUAUGAUGUUGUAUCUUGUGGUGAUCCACAUGUAUCAUCAUCAUUAUGUGAUGAUUCGUAUCUGAUAGCUG
This 885-nucleotide long non-coding RNA is filed under the name Medicago truncatula (barrel medic). RNAcentral's name for it is "long non-coding RNA (MTRU_LNC008823)". The record is from RNAcentral. Lineage: Eukaryota; Viridiplantae; Streptophyta; Magnoliopsida; Fabales; Fabaceae.